Molecule: ribosomal RNA, 515 nt
Filed under: uncultured Actinomycetes bacterium
Lineage: Bacteria; Bacillati; Actinomycetota; Actinomycetes
Description: bacterial SSU rRNA
Rfam family: Bacterial small subunit ribosomal RNA
Source: RNAcentral
UACGCUUGUUGGUGAGUAAUGGCUCACCAAGGCGACGACGGGUAGCCGGCCUGAGAGGGCGACCGGCCACACUGGGACUGAGACACGGCCCAGACUCCUACGGGAGGCAGCAGUGGGGAAUAUUGCACAAUGGGCGAAAGCCUGAUGCAGCGACGCCGCGUGAGGGAUGACGGCCUUCGGGUUGUAAACCUCUUUCAGCAGGGAAGAAGCGAAAGUGACGGUACCUGCAGAAGAAGCGCCGGCUAACUACGUGCCAGCAGCCGCGGUAAUACGUAGGGCGCGAGCGUUGUCCGGAAUUAUUGGGCGUAAAGAGCUCGUAGGCGGCUUGUCGCGUCGGUUGUGAAAGCCCGGGGCUUAACCCCGGGUCUGCAGUCGAUACGGGCAGGCUAGAGUUCGGUAGGGGAGAUCGGAAUUCCUGGUGUAGCGGUGAAAUGCGCAGAUAUCAGGAGGAACACCGGUGGCGAAAGCGGAUCUCUGGGCCGAUACUGACGCUUAAGAGCGAAAGCGUGGGGAGC